CCAGACUCCUACGGGAGGCAGCAGUGGGGGAUAUUGCACAAUGGGGGGAACCCUGAUGCAGCGACGCCGCGUGGGUGAAGGAGUGCUUCGGCAUGUAAAGCCCUAUCGGCAGGGAAGAAGCAAGACGGUACCUGACUAAGAAGCCCCGGCUAACUACGUGCCAGCAGCCGCGGUAAUACGUAGGGGGCGAGCGUUAUCCGGAUUCACUGGGCGUAAAGGGAGCGUAGACGGCCAUGCAAGCCAGGGGUGAAAGCCCGGGGCCCAACCCCGGGACUGCCCUUGGAACUGCAUGGCUGGAGUGCGGGAGGGGCAGGCGGAAUUCCUGGUGUAGCGGUGAAAUGCGUAGAUAUUAGGAGGAACACCGGCGGCGAAGGCGGCCUGCUGGACCGUAACUGACGUUGAGGCUCGAAAGCGUGGGGAGCAAACAGGAUUAGAUACCCCAGUAC
Molecule: ribosomal RNA, 446 nt
Filed under: uncultured bacterium
Lineage: Bacteria
Description: partial 16S ribosomal RNA
Rfam family: Bacterial small subunit ribosomal RNA
Source: RNAcentral